AUUGAACGCUGGCGGAAUGCUUUACACAUGCAAGUCGAACGGCAGCAUAGGUGCUUGCACCUGAUGGCGAGUGGCGAACGGGUGGGUAAUACAUCGGAACGUGCCCAGUCGUGGGGGAUAACGUAGCGAAAGUUACGCUAAUACCGCAUACGAUCUAAGGAUGAAAGCGGGGGACCGUAAGGCCUCGCGCGAUUGGAGCGGCCGAUGUCAGAUUAGGUAGUUGGUGAGGUAAAGGCUCACCAAGCCGACGAUCUGUAGCUGGUCUGAGAGGGCGACCAGCCACACUGGGACUGAGACACGGCCCAGACUCCUACGGGAGGCAGCAGUGGGGAAUUUUGGACAAUGGACGCAAGUCUGAUCCAGCCAUUCCGCGUGCAGGACGAAGGCCUUCGGGUUGUAAACUGCUUUUGUACGGAACGAAAAAGCUCUUACUAAUACUAGGAGUCCAUGACGGUACCGUAAGAAUAAGCACCGGCUAACUACGUGCCAGCCGCCGCCGUAA
RNAcentral lists this ribosomal RNA (502 nucleotides) under uncultured bacterium. RNAcentral's name for it is "partial 16S ribosomal RNA". It matches the Rfam family "Bacterial small subunit ribosomal RNA", at positions 30 to 523 of the family's 1533-position model. The record is from RNAcentral.